UACGGGAGGCAGCAGUGAGGAAUAUUGCACAAUGGGCGAAAGCCUGAUGCAGCUAUGCCGCGUGUAUGAAGAAGGCCUUAGGGUUGUAAAGUACUUUCAUCGGGGAGGAAAAAACAAAACUAAUAAUUUUAUUUCUUGACGUUACCCGAAAAAGAAGCACCGGCUAACUCCGUGCCAGCAGCCGCGGUAAUACGGAGGGUGCUAGCGUUAAUCAGAAUUACUGGGCGUAAAGAGCACGUAGGUGGUUUUUUUAAGUUCAGAUGUGAAAUCCCUGGGCUUAACCUAGGAACUGCAUUUUGAAACUGAAAUACUAGAGUAUCGUAGAGGGAGGUAGAAUUCUAGGUGUAGCGGUGAAAUGCGUAGAUAUCUGGAGGAAUACCUGUGGCGAAAGCGGCCUCCUAAACGAAUACUGACACUGAGGUGCGAAAGCGUGGGGAGCAAACAGGGAUUAGAUACC
Molecule: ribosomal RNA, 457 nt
Filed under: uncultured bacterium
Lineage: Bacteria
Description: bacterial SSU rRNA
Rfam family: Bacterial small subunit ribosomal RNA
Source: RNAcentral